RNAcentral lists this ribosomal RNA (254 nucleotides) under uncultured bacterium. RNAcentral's name for it is "partial 16S ribosomal RNA". It matches the Rfam family "Bacterial small subunit ribosomal RNA", at positions 524 to 776 of the family's 1533-position model. The record is from RNAcentral.
UACGUAGGGGGGCUAGCGUUGUCCGGAUUUAUUGGGCGUAAAGAGCGUGUAGGCGGCCAGGUAGGUCUGCUGUGAAAACUCGAGGCUCAACCUCGAGACGUCGGCGGAAACCAUCUGGCUAGAGUCCGGAAGAGGCGAGUGGAAUUCCCGGUGUAGCGGUGAAAUGCGCAGAUAUCAGGAAGAACACCCGUGGCGAAGGCGGCUCUCUGGGACGUGACUGACGCUGAGACGCGAAAGCGUGGGGAGCGAACAGG